RNAcentral lists this ribosomal RNA (258 nucleotides) under uncultured Cytophaga sp. Its description in RNAcentral is "partial 16S ribosomal RNA". It matches the Rfam family "Bacterial small subunit ribosomal RNA", at positions 316 to 571 of the family's 1533-position model. The record is from RNAcentral. Lineage: Bacteria; Pseudomonadati; Bacteroidota; Cytophagia; Cytophagales; Cytophagaceae.
GUACUGAGACACGGACCAGACUCCUACGGGAGGCAGCAGUGAGGAAUAUUGGGCAAUGGAGGCAACUCUGACCCAGCCAUGCCGCGUGCAGGAAGAAGGCCCUAUGGGUUGUAAACUGCUUUUAUACAGGAAGAAACAGCUCUACGUGUAGAGCCUUGACGGUACUGUAAGAAUAAGCACCGGCUAACUCCGUGCCAGCAGCCGCGGUAAUACGGAGGGUCCGAGCGUUAUCCGGAAUCAUUGGGUUUAAAGGGUCCG